Molecule: long non-coding RNA, 4456 nt
Organism: Felis catus (domestic cat)
Lineage: Eukaryota; Metazoa; Chordata; Mammalia; Carnivora; Felidae
Exons: 4
Source: RefSeq, a predicted model, not a curated record
GUCUUCAAGGCUCAGCCACGUUGCUGCUCUUGCAGAGUUUCACUCCUUUUCAAGGCUGAAUAAUACUCCAGCGUAUGUGUCUACCACAGGGCGUUCAUCCGUGUGUCCAUCAGGGGACAUCUGCUUGCUUUCGCUUUGGGCUACUGCAGGUUUUGUGCCAGGCACCGUCGCAAGCUCCACGGGUGCGUUAUUGUGUGUAACCUCACUACAAGCGAAUUUGGGAAUAUCGUUCCCAUUUUCCAGGUGAGAAAGCAGGCUCUCUUCAAGACCCAUGACCUACAAAGUGGCAGGGAGGAAUGUGAGAGGGGCCUGGCUGACCCCACUGAGCUGCCCUGCAUUUCCGGCAGCGGAGGCCUAUGGGAAGGCAGGGAGCAGUGCCCAUCUGGCCCUGGGAGGGCUGUGUGUCUCACACAUUCCCUGUGCUCCUCUGUCACACUCCCCCCUUCCUCUUACUUCCUUCCUUUCCCCGGUCUCUCCUUUCUGAUCCUGAGCCAUUAAAUGUCUCCUGCCUGCCAGCCAAGAUCUGAUAAAUUCUUAGCACCUCAGUGAGAACGGCUCCCUUCCCAGGAGGAUUUUCGUUUUCAAAGGCAUAAACUAGAAGAAAAGUGCCCAGAAAGACCCUUUGGAGAGUCACCCCUGGAGAUACGACUGGGAGAGUGCAAUCUAACCUGGGUGAUAUGACCCAACCACUCCUUUGUUAAUACAAUUCUACAAACUGAGCAUCUACUAUGUGCCAGGCACUGUUCCAAGCAUCUUACACAGAUUCACUCACCUAAGCCUCCCAACCACCACUGGGCCCAUUGAGAGAUGGAGAAACUGAGCCUCCGAGAAGUCAGAUCACCAACUCAGACAGACUCCCACCACUGUGAAGUGGUCCAGACACGAUCCCGGCUCAUGGGCACUGGAUCCAAAGCCUGCACUUAGCUGCUGCCUCACACUGCCUACAGUAUUCUCCUACAGGAAUUUAGAGACAGAUAUACAUGCUAGAUACAUGGAUGGAUGGAUGGAUGGACGGACAGACAAAUAAAGAGUUGGGUGAAGGCAAAGGAGAGGCUUUUGCUCCAUCCCUGACUUUUACUUACUUGUAAAGUAGCUGACCAUCAACAUCAGCCUCCUCCAGCUCUCACCCACCCCUCCCCUGGAAAGGAAGUCUCGGUUGUCUGUUCCUUCGCACCUCUCACCACCACCAAUCCAUUGUGCGCUUUCUCUGGGAAAGAGUCCCCGUGGUGCUGCCCCCUGUGGCCUACACCACCAGGGCAGCCUUGACCUCUGGCUUUCAGAGGACACAGCCAAUGGAAGGACCAGCAAGGGCCAAAGGGUGCCCGAUUGCUGGCAGUUUCCACAUCCUCCUGUGGCCAUGCACCCUGCUCUGUAGCCCGCUUCAAGGCUACAGCCUCUCCAAAUGGAAUCCCUCUGCCUUCCUGGCAUCCUUAGGGCAUGCACGUCCUUCAGCCGUUGCUGGCCUCGAAGCGCCACACCACUGCGUAUUUGUUCCUUCACUCUACCCACACCUCUGUGAUGUUCCCUUCUCUUCAUUUAGAUCUUCCCUGCCAGCUCUGCAGACUCUCUUAAAACGUUCAGAGAACGGAUGGGGAAGAGGGCUGUGUCUGCUGGAUCCUAUAAACACAUGGACAAACACAUACAUAUACAGACACAUACACGCACACGUAUGCACACACAGUGCACAUGCACGCGGACAUGUGCACAUGUGUAUACAUAUGUACACAUGUGUGCACGUACACACAUGUGUGCAAACCCAUGUACUCGCAUGUGCACGUGCACACACAUAUAUGUGCACAUGCGUGCAUACACACACACCCUCAAAUACCAGGAGAACACAGCCCAGAUGCUCACAGUGGUUUUCUCUGGGCAACAGGAUUAUAAGUGAUUGUUUUUUUUUAUUAAUGCGUUUCUGGAUUUUCUAUGAUAUUCAUGACUCUAAAACUUUGUGUGUUCUCUCUGUUUUCAAAGAAAUGCUGAUCUAUGGGUGAGAAGGCAGAGCCAAUGGUGGGGGAGAAAGCUGCAAAUAUAUUGAGGGGGCAGAGUUCUUGUUUCCCCUGCACAUAUACUGGUGGGAGAGGACUCCCCUGCCUUUGCAAAGACCCCCACCCCCUUCGCAAGCCCUCCUACGGCCCACCUCUGCUCCGAACCCACCUCUGCUUUCUCACCAAGGCUACCUUGAGGCCUUGAGAUUAGGAAAGGCUCUUAAGAGCCCUUCCAUGCCUCUGAGAUGACCAGAAGUGUCAGCUAGCCCUCUGCCUGGACCCCUGUCCCCCAGUAGCCUCCCCACUCAGGUGUUGAAGCCUCCCCAGCCCCCUGCUUUCCAUCUGUGGGAGGAGACCCUGGACUUUCCAGGCAGUGAGAAAAAUGUGUGUCCCACAAACCGGGUCCUGACUUCCUUAUUCUCCCCGUCGCCCCACCCCCACCCCUACAAGAGCUCCAUUCAAUCGUCUCUCAGGACCUGCCCUGAGAUCUGAGACACUCUCAGGCAACAAUAGCAGGUCAGAUGGAAAAGUAUUUAUUAACGUUUCAAAUAGAGGAGUUCUAGAAAGGCAACCCUAAAGAAGGCCUUUCAUGGCAGCAUUUCAGGCAGUGGUCAGGGCAGUCUGUUGAGAAACGGAGGGUGUCACGCUUCCCUUGCUGCCCUCCCGCCAGAACAGAACCAACUUUCUAUUGCAUUUCAAAGCAGGGCCAACCCAGGUCAGCCAGGUCACUGCCCAUGGCUACCUCCGAGGAGAAGCUAAUCUAACAAGGAUCUAGCAGCACCAGAGGGAGGAACCGGUUAUUGAGAUGUAAAAUUGGGUUAAAGUAAAUGAGUCCAGCCCUCUGCUCUACUCCCCAGCCCUGAGGAACCUCUGAGGUAGCUGCAGUGGACAGACCCUGUGGGUGGUAAACAGACCCAAGCCCAGAAGUUUAAAAUUCCUAUGUUCUGCGCCUAGCCGGCUCCUAAUCUGCUGUGUGAUGUUAGGCAGAAUUCUAAACCUCUCCGAGCCUUGUGACACGGCUGGCAACAUGAAGAGCUUGGACUGGGUGGAUCUAAAGCCUCCUCCAGCUCCAAUAUGCUGUGAUGUCCCCUGCCCUUCCCUCUUCCACCCCCUUCCUCACUCCCUUUCCCUCACACACAGACACACACACACACACACACACACACACACACACACACCAGUCCCAAAGAUCGAAUCCAAGAGAAAGGCAGAGUUUGGGUCAACUCAGUCCAGAGACUUCUGGAAACUGCAAUGAACCUGCAGCUUGUAUUUGGCCAACUGUCUUAGGGACUGAAAGAGCUUCUCUUCCCAGGUCAACCAAAGGUCCAGGCCUAGAUAAAAGGACUGCCCCACGCUCAGUGAGUUGAGUUGCUCAGCCCGCGUCCAGGAUGAACCAAGGCUCCUCGCUGACGCUCCAGUUUCAAAACAAAGCUUUGAAAGAGAACUGCAUUCAGUGGAAAAUCCCCCAGUAACAAGGCCCCUGGGAGCAUUCUGGGAACACCAUCUGUCAAGCAGCAUCAUUCCCACAACCUGUGACCAGAACAGCCUUUCAGUGUCAAUACCAAUCACGAUCAUCACAUCCUGUGUCUUUAGACAGUGGUCCUGGACCCUGUAAAGCCCUUCAUCCGGACUCAGUUUGGCCUCAUACAACUCUCUGAAUGAUGCACAGAUUUGGGGACCACUCUCCACCAUGCCAUCUGCACAGAAUCUGGGAAUCCUGGAAACUGCAGGCUUAGAAGGACCAUCAGAGCUCCAGGAGGGCACUCACCUGCCCAGCGCAAGUUGUCUCUCCGAGGCGUCCACAACCGCUGAGGAUACGGAUGGUGACGCAGUGACAGAGACCACCAGUAGUCACAGCUUGAAUGGAGGAGCAGCAUCGUUCUCACAAAACACUCCAGGGCUGAUAGGGCAGCUCCUUAGGCUUGGGGACACAGGACUCUUCUGCUUGAAUUUGUAGGGUCUACUGACGUUUGGGCACCGCAGGAAGCAGACUCCAAGCUGGAGGUCAGCGUGCAGGAUCCACACCUGUGGAAAGGGGUACCGGCUGGAUUGAGCAGAGGGAGGAGUCGGGCUGUGACACGGGCACGGCCAAGGCUUCAGCCGACCCCUUGGAGACCCCUGAGGCUGUGAUAUCCUUUCAGGGUUUUUCAAACUGAGACGAGGGAGCCAAGCCUUUACACACACACACAAGGACUAGCCGUUGGAUACUGGCUGCCCGUGGGAGUGGGUAUGACCUUGGUCCAGAAGACUCUCUUCAGCUGAGGGCGAUUCUCCGCAUUGGCUGAUAGCUGAGGGUGGGCAGCUGUGGGAAUGAGCCCUUUGCUCCUGAAAAGGUAAUCUCAGCAGCACAUCACAGCACCCACUAUGAGACUGUUACAUGUUGAAUUGUGCUCCACCCUCCCAAAAAAAAAAUCCAUAUGUUGAAGUUCUAACCCCCAGUACCUCGGAAUGUAAACUGAUUUGGAAAUAGA